GAUGAACGCUGGCGGCGUGCCUAAUACAUGCAAGUCGAGCGAAUGGAUUAAGAGCUUGCUCUUAUGAGGUUAGCGGCGGACGGGUGAGUAACACGUGGGUAACCUGCCCAUAAGACUGGGAUAACUCCGGGAAACCGGGGCUAAUACCGGAUAACAUUUUGAACCGCAUGGUUCGAAAUUGAAAGGCGGCUUCGGCUGUCACUUAUGGAUGGACGCGCGUCGCAUUAGCUAGGUGGUGAGGUAACGGCUCACCAAGGCAACGAUGCGUGGCCGACCUGAGAGGGUGAUCGGCCACACCGGGACUGAGACACGGCCCAGACUCCUACGGGAGGCAGCAGUAGGGAAUCUUCCGCAAUGGACGAAAGUCUGACGGAGCAACGCCGCGUGAGUGAUGAAGGCUUUCGGGUCGUAAAACUCUGUUGUUAGGGAAGAACAAGUGCUAGUUGAAUAAGCUGGCACCUUGACGGUACCUAACCAGAAAGCCACGGCUAACUACGUGCCAGCCGCCGCCGUAA
Molecule: ribosomal RNA, 515 nt
Filed under: uncultured bacterium
Lineage: Bacteria
Description: partial 16S ribosomal RNA
Rfam family: Bacterial small subunit ribosomal RNA
Source: RNAcentral